AUGAGCGGAUAUGUAUUCACUCAUGGAGGUGGCGCUGUUUCUUGGAAGUCUUGCAAGCAGACCAUCUUAACGAGCUCAACAAUGGAAGCAGAACUCACAGCACUAGAUACAGCUACGGUCGAAGCAGAUUGGCUUCGCCGGCUCUUGAAUGACUUGUCGGUUGUUGAGAAACCUGUACCGGGUAUCCUAAUGAACUGUGAUAAUCAAACUGUGAUCACGAAAGUGAAUAGUUCAAAGGAUAACAUGAAGUCAUCAAGACAUGUUCAGAGAAGGUUAAAGUCUAUCAGAAAAAUGAAAAACUCUGGAGUUAUUGCAUUGGACUAUAUCCAAACGUCUAAAAAUCUGGCAGAUCCUUUUACUAAGGGUCUAUCACGUAAUGUGAUAGAUAAUGCAUCGAGGGAGAUGGGAAUGAGACCCACAAUAUGA
Molecule: ribosomal RNA, 426 nt
Filed under: Triticum aestivum (bread wheat)
Lineage: Eukaryota; Viridiplantae; Streptophyta; Magnoliopsida; Poales; Poaceae
Description: partial small subunit ribosomal RNA
Source: RNAcentral